Molecule: ribosomal RNA, 300 nt
Filed under: uncultured bacterium
Lineage: Bacteria
Description: partial 16S ribosomal RNA
Rfam family: Bacterial small subunit ribosomal RNA
Source: RNAcentral
UGGGGAAUAUUGGACAAUGGGGGGCAACCCUGAUCCAGCAAUGCCGCGUGUGUGAAGAAGGUCUUCGGAUUGUAAAGCACUUUCGACGGGGACGAUGAUGACGGUACCCGUAGAAGAAGCCCCGGCUAACUUCGUGCCAGCAGCCGCGGUAAUACGAAGGGGGCUAGCGUUGCUCGGAAUGACUGGGCGUAAAGGGCGUGUAGGCGGUUUACACAGUCAGAUGUGAAAUCCCCGGGCUUAACCUGGGAGCUGCAUUUGAUACGUGUAGACUAGAGUGUGAGAGAGGGUUGUGGAAUUCCC